This 492-nucleotide ribosomal RNA is filed under the name Ceratium hirundinella. Its description in RNAcentral is "LSU rRNA". It matches the Rfam family "Eukaryotic large subunit ribosomal RNA", at positions 212 to 628 of the family's 3401-position model. Lineage: Eukaryota; Dinophyceae; Gonyaulacales; Ceratiaceae. The record is from RNAcentral.
GUGAAAGUCCUGUGUGUCAUGUGCAUGUUGUUGUGCACGGUGCUUUUCAUUGAGUCACGUUCCUUGGGAUUGGAGCGCAAAGCUGGUGGUAUAUUUCAUCUGCAGCUACAUAUGUAUACGAGACCGAUAGCAAACAAGUACCGUGAGGGAAAUAUGAAAAGGACUUUGAAAAGAGGGUUAAAAGUGUUUUGAAAUUGCUGGAUAUUAAGCGAAGGAAACAAGUGUGCUUGGCAAGAUUGCUGCAUAUUUGCAGAUAUGUGACAGUGUCAUGAUUUCCCUGUUGCUAUAUCAUGCAUGUUUGUGGUGUUUGUUGCCUUGCAUGUCAUCUUGUUCUGUGUAUAAGCAAAAUGUGAAUGGCAUGGUAUUUUGCACUGUGCAGGAGAAUGCUUUCCAUGGUGCAUAUUUACAUUGCAGUCGUCUAUGGUUGUAAAAUCCGACUUUCUCACACAUUAUUGUGUGCUGGAUGGUGGGUGUCUGUUCAGUUGAUUGCGA